GAACUCAGGGGCACUUGACUGCGAGCCAUAUCCCUAGCCUAUUUUGUAUUUAGAGACAGGGUCUCACUGAAUUGCUUAACGUCUUGCUAAGUUGCUGAGGCUGGCUUUGAACUCUCCAUCCUCCUGCCUCAGCUUUCCGAGCCACUGGGAUAACUGGUGUGUACACUGUGCCCGGCAGCAUUAUUUAUUUGCCUCAGAAUUUGAAGAAUCUGAGAAAUCUAAUUUUUUCAAACCUUUGAUUUGAAUUAGUUACUGAUUUUCGUAUUAAAUCCUCCCAAUUUGUAAGUAUCUGAAAAUAUGCUCCUGUGUACUAACUUGUACUGGAUUAGAAUCAUUUUUGAAGUCUAAAAUGUAAAUUUCGAAGAGGAUAAACUGAGACAUGAAACUUAUUGCUUCCUUUCUCUGGCUAUUUUGGGUAAUUCUGUUUGGAGCUGUCUAAUGAUUCAGAAGUGGAUGGGUGUGUACUAUGUUUUGUUAUCCUAAAGCUGGGUUUUAAAUUUUGAGACAGGGUAUCGCUAAGUCCCUGAGGCAGGCCUGGAACUUGUGAUCCUCUUGCCUCGGCUUCUGGAGUUGUUGGGGUUACAGGCAUGAGCCACUGCAUCUCCAGCAAGCUGGUUGAGUUAGAAAGCUGGGAAUCAAAGCAAAUAAUUCAGUGAAAUGAGGGUGCUGAAAAUGACUGCAGGGAUUAUGGAACUGUUCUGGAUUCUGGUCUAUUAUGACAGGAAAGGAAAGGGCUAAGAAUAUACAUUCUGGGGUCAGACCAGCUAAAGUUUUAAAUCCACUUGUACUAUUUACUUGUUGGAGUGAUCUUAGAAAAGUUAUUUAACUUUUACCUCUAUAUGUCUCAGUUUCCUUGGUAGUUAAAAAAAAAAGGUGCUGGGAUAGCACAGUUGAGUUGCAUUUUAGGAGUUGUUCUAAAGAUUAAAUGUUGGGGCUGGGGAUGUGGCUCAAGCGGUAGCGCGCUCGCCUGUCAUGCGUGCGGCCCGGGUUCGAUCCUCAGCACCACAUACAAACAAAGAUGUUGUGUCCACCGAGAACUAAAAAAAUAAAUAAAUAUUUAAAAAAAAAAAAAGAUUAAAUGUUGUGUGUAAGAGGCUAAUUACUAUCAUCACAAAGUAGAGCACAUAGUAGAUGCUAAGGCAGUAAGUAUUACCUCAUAUUUAGGGGACAUAUUUUUCUCAAGAAUUCAGGAAAAUGAUGAUACUACAAG
Molecule: long non-coding RNA, 1210 nt
Filed under: Marmota monax (woodchuck)
Lineage: Eukaryota; Metazoa; Chordata; Mammalia; Rodentia; Sciuridae
Source: RNAcentral